RNAcentral lists this unclassified non-coding RNA (231 nucleotides) under plant metagenome. RNAcentral describes it as "partial contains small subunit ribosomal RNA, internal transcribed spacer 1, and 5.8S ribosomal RNA". The record is from RNAcentral.
GCUCCGUUGGUGAACCAGCGGAGGGGUCAUUACUGAGUUACCGCUCUACAACCCUUUGUGAACAUACCUAACUGUUGCUUCGGCGGGCAGAGGUCCCUCGCGGAUCUCUCCCGGCAACGCCCUCACGGGCGGAGCGCCCGCCGGAGGAUACCAAACUCUAUUUUAACGACGUUUCUUCUGAGUGGCACAAGCAAAUAAUUAAAACUUUUAACAACGGAUCUCUUGGUUCUG